This 482-nucleotide ribosomal RNA is filed under the name uncultured bacterium. RNAcentral's name for it is "partial 16S ribosomal RNA". It matches the Rfam family "Bacterial small subunit ribosomal RNA", at positions 30 to 507 of the family's 1533-position model. The record is from RNAcentral.
AUUGAACGCUGGCGGCAUGCCUUACACAUGCCAGUCGAACGGUAACGGGCCUUCGGGUGCCGACGAGUGGCGCACGGGUGAGUAAUACAUCGGAACGUGCCCGAUCGUGGGGGAUAACGAGGCGAAAGCUUUGCUAAUACCGCAUACGAUCUACGGAUGAAAGCAGGGGACCGCAAGGCCUUGCGCGGACGGAGCGGCCGAUGGCAGAUUAGGUAGUUGGUGGGAUAAAAGCUUACCAAGCCGACGAUCUGUAGCUGGUCUGAGAGGAUGAUCAGCCACACUGGGACUGAGACACGGCCCAGACUCCUACGGGAGGCAGCGGUGGGGAAUUUUGGACAAUGGGCGCAAGCCUGAUCCAGCCAUGCCGCGUGCAGGAUGAAGGCCUUCGGGUUGUAAACUGCUUUUGUACGGAACGAAAAGCCUUCUUUUAAUACAGGAGGGUCAUGACGGUACCGUAAGAAUAAGCACCGGCUAACUACGUG